GCUCGCGCUAGCGAUGCUUAACACAUGCAAGUCGAACGAUGAUCCCAGCUUGCUGGGGGAUUAGUGGCGAACGGGUGAGUAACACGUGAGUAACCUGCCCUUGACUCUGGGAUAAGCCUGGGAAACUGGGUCUAAUACCGGAUAUGACUCCUCAUCGCAUGGUGGGGGGUGGAAAGCUUUUGUGGUUUUGGAUGGACUCGCGGCCUAUCAGCUUGUUGGUGGGGUAAUGGCCUACCAAGGCGACGACGGGUAGCCGGCCUGAGAGGGUGACCGGCCACACUGGGACUGAGACACGGCCCAGACUCCUACGGGAGGCAGCAGUGGGGAAUAUUGCA
Molecule: ribosomal RNA, 335 nt
Filed under: actinobacterium BC5
Lineage: Bacteria; Bacillati; Actinomycetota; Actinomycetes
Description: bacterial SSU rRNA
Rfam family: Bacterial small subunit ribosomal RNA
Source: RNAcentral